GUGUGGGCGCCGGAAGACGGGUAUUGUUGAUGUCAAUAUAUAUAGUGAAUAACUUCCACAUU
This 62-nucleotide transfer RNA is filed under the name Aegista aubryana. Its description in RNAcentral is "tRNA-Ile". The record is from RNAcentral. Lineage: Eukaryota; Metazoa; Mollusca; Gastropoda; Stylommatophora; Camaenidae.